CCUACGGGAGGCAGCAGUGAGGAAUAUUGGUCAAUGGACGCAAGUCUGAACCAGCCAUGCCGCGUGCAGGAAGACGGCUCUAUGAGUUGUAAACUGCUUUUGUACGAGGGUAAACGCAGAUACGCGUAUCUUUCUGAACGUAUCGUACGAAUAAGGAUCGGCUAACUCCGUGCCAGCAGCCGCGGUAAUACGGAGGAUUCAAGCGUUGUCCGGAUUUAUUGGGUUUAAAGGGUGCGUAGGCGGUCGGAUAAGUUAGAGGUGAAAUCCCGGGGCUCAACUUCGGAAUUGCCUCUGAUACUGUUAGGCUAGAGUGUGGUUGAGGUAGGCGGAAUGUAUGGUGUAGCGGUGAAAUGCUUAGAGAUCAUACAGAACACCAAUUGCGAAGGCAGCUUACCAAGCUACGUCUGACGUUGAGGCACGAAAGCGUGGGGAGCAAACAGGAUUAGAUACCCGAGUAGUC
RNAcentral lists this ribosomal RNA (460 nucleotides) under uncultured bacterium. Its description in RNAcentral is "partial 16S ribosomal RNA". It matches the Rfam family "Bacterial small subunit ribosomal RNA", at positions 338 to 795 of the family's 1533-position model. The record is from RNAcentral.